This 360-nucleotide ribosomal RNA is filed under the name Triticum aestivum (bread wheat). Its description in RNAcentral is "partial small subunit ribosomal RNA". Lineage: Eukaryota; Viridiplantae; Streptophyta; Magnoliopsida; Poales; Poaceae. The record is from RNAcentral.
AUGGCCUCCUCCCCUCUCGCCUCCCCGGCCCGCCGCGCCCUCCUCUUGUCGUCGUUCCUCCUCUGCUUCCUGCCGCGCCAUGUUGCCGCCGGCGCCGCUGGGGCGGCGGGCUACGUCACCGUCUCCACCGCCAGCUUCGCCGCCCGGUACGGCGUGGUGACGCUGCCGACGGUGGCGCUGACGUUCAGCGGCGGCGCGACGCUGGCCCUGGAGGCCCCCGGGAUCCUGUCGAGCGGGUGCCUCGCGUUCGCGCCCAACGGCGGCGACGGCGACGCCGCCAUCCUCGGCAACGUGCAGCAGCGCUCCUUCGCGGUGCGCUUCGACGGCGGCACCGUCGGGUUCAUGCCCAGCGCGUGCUGA